AGAGACCAUCUCUCGUACCUUUUGCAUCAUGAUUUAGCAAGUAAUACCCAAGCAAAAAGCAUUUUAGUUUGGUCCCCCGAAGCCAAGUGAGCUACUCCAAGACAACCUAUGAUUAGGGUAAACCCGUCUCUGUGGCAAAAGAGUGGGAAGAGCUUCGAGUAGAGGUGACAGACCUAUCGAACUUGGUUAUAGCUGGUUGCUUGAGAAACGAAUAGGAGUUCUGCCUCUUAUAUUCUUAUAACACCUCUGGCUUAUUAACUUAUUAAGCCCUCCACAGGUUUAAAGAAGAUAAGAAAGUUAAUCAAAGGGGGUACAGCCCCUUUGAGACAAGAUACAACUUUUUCAGGCGGGUAAAGAUCAUAACUCAUUAAGGCAUUCAUGUCUCGGUGGGCCUAAAAGCAGCCAUCCCCUUAGAGAGCGUUAUAGCUCCAACAUGUUUCCUCCCUCAAUCCUGACAACAAAUCUUACCCCCCUAACUAUAUCAAGCCGUCCCAUACACCCAUGGGAGCGAUUAUGCUAAAAUGAGUAAUAAGAGAACUUAACGCCUCUCUCCCUGUACACACGUAAAUCGGAGCGGACCCUCCACCGAAACUUAACGGCCCCAAACAAAGAGGGUAUUGGAUGGCAAACGAUAAACUAGAAAACCAUCCAAGACCUAACCGUUGACCCCACACCGGUGUACUUCUAGGGAAAGACUAAAAAGAAAAGAAGGAACUCGGCAAAUACCCCCAAGCCUCGCCUGUUUACCAAAAACAUCGCCUCUUGCUGAUCGCACAUAAGAGGUCCUGCCUGCCCCGUGACUCCUGGUUUAACGGCCGCGGUAUUUUGACCGUGCAAAGGUAGCGCAAUCACUUGUCUCUUAAAUGAAGACCUGUAUGAAUGGCAUGACGAGGGCUUAACUGUCUCCUUUUCUUGGUCAAUGAAAUUGAUCUUCCCGUGCGGAAGCGGGAAUACCUACAUAAGACGAGAAGACCCUGUGGAGCUUUAGACACUAGAACAGAUCACGUAAACUACCUCUUAAAAAGUAACAACAAUUGAAUCUCUGUUCCCCUGUCUUUGGUUGGGGCGACCACGGGGAAGAAAAAAACCCCCACGUGGGCUGGGAACAUAUAAUUCCUACAAUUACGAGCCACAGCUCUAGAACGCAGAAUUUCUGACCAAUGAGAUCCGGCAAUGCCGAUCAACGGACCUAGUUACCCUAGGGAUAACAGCGCAAUCCCCUUUAAGAGUCCAUAUCGACAAGGGGGUUUACGACCUCGAUGUUGGAUCAAGACAUCCUAAUGGUGCAACCGCUAUUAAGGGUUCGUUUGUUCAACGAUUAAAGUCUU
Molecule: ribosomal RNA, 1328 nt
Filed under: Agonostomus monticola (mountain mullet)
Lineage: Eukaryota; Metazoa; Chordata; Actinopteri; Mugiliformes; Mugilidae
Description: partial 16S ribosomal RNA
Rfam family: Bacterial large subunit ribosomal RNA
Source: RNAcentral